UUAUGAAAGUGAUAUUCAUUUGUAGGUCUGGUAUAACUCCAGAGGGUGGCAAGACUGUGCAUGUAAAGUGAACCCGUGACAUGACAGGAAGAACUCUAGUCUACAAUGAGUAAUGAUGCUGUAAUCCAUUUUGUUGGCACAUUUGUUGCUGCCAUGAAAUGGCUUUCAUUGGUCAUUCCUGUGUUCCCUCAAACUUUACCAAGCACAAUGAAACUUKGAUUAAUUGUUGAGAGACCUCCACUGAUUGACCAUAACAGUCUGCUAUUUGAAUUGUUGUAUGGCAUUUGUUGGAUAGGUUGAGGGAUUUCCUUCAUGUCUGUUGGAGUGAGAAGACCAGUGAGCUUGCAAUGACAGAAACCGUGUCUUACAUAAUGAUUAUUUAGAGAUUCACAGCUAACUAGUCAGUCGUCUCACUUGUUGCAAAGGAAUGGUUAUCCUUAAGAUGGUGAAGGAAAACUGUGCUUGAAUCAUAUGCAAGGUUGCUAGUUGCCAAGGUUUCUACAGUCAAGCCGACAAUUGCCAAUGCCCUGGCUUUAUAUUUUGAAUAUGAUAAAUAUUAUUUCUAUAAGAUUUUGCUCAUGAAAAUAAAUUAUGUGAUUUUUAUUUGUAYAUUAUACUGUAAAAAGAUCUCAAAGUUUUUUAUUUUGUUUAUAUUUAUGAGAAUGAUGGCRUAGAGUGAAAGCAUUUAAUCCAUCCAAUUGUAUCAAAUCAAAAUAGCAAAACACUCAAAUUGAUUAAAAAGGAAAACUAAACUGAA
Exaiptasia diaphana is the source of this 757-nucleotide long non-coding RNA. RefSeq lists it as uncharacterized. The record is from RefSeq and is a predicted model, not a curated record. The transcript is spliced from 6 exons. Lineage: Eukaryota; Metazoa; Cnidaria; Anthozoa; Actiniaria; Aiptasiidae.